RNAcentral lists this ribosomal RNA (516 nucleotides) under uncultured bacterium. Its description in RNAcentral is "bacterial SSU rRNA". It matches the Rfam family "Bacterial small subunit ribosomal RNA", at positions 8 to 518 of the family's 1533-position model. The record is from RNAcentral.
CAGGGUUUGAUCCUGGCUCAGAUUGAACGCUGGCGGCAGGCCUAACACAUGCAAGUCGAGCGGAUGAAGGGAGCUUGCUCCUGGAUUCAGCGGCGGACGGGUGAGUAAUGCCUAGGAAUCUGCCUGGUAGUGGGGGAUAACGUCCGGAAACGGGCGCUAAUACCGCAUACGUCCUGAGGGAGAAAGUGGGGGAUCUUCGGACCUCACGCUAUCAGAUGAGCCUAGGUCGGAUUAGCUAGUUGGUGGGGUAAAGGCCUACCAAGGCGACGAUCCGUAACUGGUCUGAGAGGAUGAUCAGUCACACUGGAACUGAGACACGGUCCAGACUCCUACGGGAGGCAGCAGUGGGGAAUAUUGGACAAUGGGCGAAAGCCUGAUCCAGCCAUGCCGCGUGUGUGAAGAAGGUCUUCGGAUUGUAAAGCACUUUAAGUUGGGAGGAAGGGCAGUAAGUUAAUACCUUGCUGUUUUGACGUUACCAACAGAAUAAGCACCGGCUAACUUCGUGCCAGCAGCCGC